GCGUAAUAGCUCACUGGUCGAGUCGGCCUGCGCGGAAGAUGUAACGGGGCUAAACCAUGCACCGAAGCUGCGGCAGCGACACUAUGUGUUGUUGGGUAGGGGAGCGUUCUGUAAGCCGUUGAAGGUGUGCUGUGAGGCAUGCUGGAGGUAUCAGAAGUGCGAAUGCUGACAUAAGUAACGAUAAAGCGGGUGAAAAGCCCGCUCGCCGGAAGACCAAGGGUUCCUGUCCAACGUUAAUCGGGGCAGGGUGAGUCGACCCCUAAGGCGAGGCCGAAAGGCGUAGUCGAUGGGAAACAGGUUAAUAUUCCUGUACUUGGUGUUACUGCGAAGGGGGGACGGAGAAGGCUAUGUCAGCCGGGCGACGGUUGUCCCGGUUUAAGCAUGUAGGCGGAGGUUCCAGGUAAAUCCGGUACCUUGUUAACGCUGAGGUGUGAUGACGAGGCACUACGGUGCUGAAGUGAUAAAUGCCCUGCUUCCAGGAAAAGCCUCUAAGCAUCAGGUAACACGAAAUCGUACCCCAAACCGACACAGGUGGUCAGGUAGAGAAUACCAAGGCGCUUGAGAGAACUCGGGUGAAGGAACUAGGCAAAAUGGUGCCGUAACUUCGGGAGAAGGCACGCUGAUAUGUAGGUGAAGCCCCUGCGGGCGGAGCUGAAAUCAGUCGAAGAUACCAGCUGGCUGCAACUGUUUAUUAAAAACACAGCACUGUGCAAACACGAAAGUGGACGUAUACGGUGUGACGCCUGCCCGGUGCCGGAAGGUUAAUUGAUGGGGUUAGC
RNAcentral lists this ribosomal RNA (779 nucleotides) under Enterobacter hormaechei. RNAcentral describes it as "partial 23S ribosomal RNA". It matches the Rfam family "Bacterial large subunit ribosomal RNA", at positions 1132 to 1894 of the family's 2925-position model. Lineage: Bacteria; Pseudomonadati; Pseudomonadota; Gammaproteobacteria; Enterobacterales; Enterobacteriaceae. The record is from RNAcentral.